Molecule: ribosomal RNA, 439 nt
Filed under: uncultured bacterium
Lineage: Bacteria
Description: partial 16S ribosomal RNA
Rfam family: Bacterial small subunit ribosomal RNA
Source: RNAcentral
CUACGGGACGCUCCAGUGGGGAAUAUUGGACAAUGGGCGCAAGCCUGAUCCAGCAAUGCCGCGUGAGUGAAGACGGCCUUAGGGUUGUAAAACUCUUUCGCUAGGGAAGAUAAUGACUGUACCUAGUAAAGAAGUCCCGGCUAACUCCGUGCCAGCAGCCGCGGUAAUACGGAGGGGACUAGCGUUGUUCGGAAUUACUGGGCGUAAAGAGUUCGUAGGCGGACUGACAAGUUAGAGGUGAAAUCCCAGGGCGCAACCCUGGAACUGCCUUUAAAACUGUCAGUCUAGAGACCGGAAGAGGUUAGGGGAAUACCUAGUGUAGAGGUGAAAUUCGUAGAUAUUAGGUGGAACACCAGUGGCGAAGGCGCCUAACUGGUCCGGUACUGACGCUGAGGAACGAAAGCGUGGGGAGCAAACAGGAUUAGAUACCCUAGUAGUC